RNAcentral lists this transfer RNA (77 nucleotides) under Alphaproteobacteria bacterium. RNAcentral describes it as "tRNA-Arg". It matches the Rfam family "tRNA". From Rfam's summary of the family: Transfer RNA (tRNA) molecules are approximately 80 nucleotides in length. Their secondary structure includes four short double-helical elements and three loops (D, anti-codon, and T loops). The record is from RNAcentral. Lineage: Bacteria; Pseudomonadati; Pseudomonadota; Alphaproteobacteria. RNAcentral also lists the same sequence under 1 other name.
GCGCCCAUAGCUCAAUUGGAUAGAGCGUCAGACUACGGAUCUGAAGGCUGAGAGUUCGAAUCUUUCUGGGCGCGCCA